GGUAAAAUGGCUGAGUAUAUUAGGCGAUAAAUUGUAAAUUUAUUUAGGAAAUUAAAUUUCUUUUACCA
Molecule: transfer RNA, 68 nt
Filed under: Amara aulica
Lineage: Eukaryota; Metazoa; Arthropoda; Insecta; Coleoptera; Carabidae
Description: tRNA-Tyr
Source: RNAcentral